UCAAACUUGGUCAUUUAGAGGAAGUAAAAGUCGUAACAAGGUCUCCGUUGGUGAACCAGCGGAGGGAUCAUUACAGAGUUAUUAUAAACUCCCAACCCUUUGUGAACCAUACCGUCGUUGCCUCGGCGCAGAGCUGCGGUUGCUUUUUUGGAGUUGUCUACCCGGGAGCCAUCUACCCUGUAGUUGGCUACCCUGGAGCCACUCCGCCGUCCGCCUAGCCGCGUCAAGGGACCAUUAAACUCUGAUUUUUAUUAUGUGUCUCUGAACGAUAAAACAAAAAUUCGUUAAAACUUUCAACAACGGAUCUCUUGGUUCUGGCAUCGAUGAAGAACGCAGC
This 337-nucleotide unclassified non-coding RNA is filed under the name uncultured fungus. RNAcentral's name for it is "partial contains small subunit ribosomal RNA, internal transcribed spacer 1, and 5.8S ribosomal RNA". The stretch from base 1 to 73 matches the Rfam family "Eukaryotic small subunit ribosomal RNA", at positions 1759 to 1831 of the family's 1831-position model. The record is from RNAcentral. Lineage: Eukaryota; Fungi.